Molecule: ribosomal RNA, 467 nt
Filed under: uncultured bacterium
Lineage: Bacteria
Description: partial 16S ribosomal RNA
Rfam family: Bacterial small subunit ribosomal RNA
Source: RNAcentral
ACGAACGCUGGCGGCGUGCUUAACACCUGCAAGUCGAACGGAAAGGCCCUGCUUUUGUGGGGUGCUCGAGUGGCGAACGGGUGAGUAACACGUGAGUAACCUGCCCUUGACUUUGGGAUAACUUGAGGAAACUGGGGCUAAUACCGGAUAGGAGCUCCUGCUGCAUGGUGGGGGUUGGAAAGUUUCGGCGGUUGGGGAUGGACUCGCGGCUUAUCAGCUUGUUGGUGGGGUAGUGGCUUACCAAGGCUUUGACGGGUAGCCGGCCUGAGAGGGUGACCGGCCACAUUGGGACUGAGAUACGGCCCAGACUCCUACGGGAGGCAGCAGUGGGGAAUAUUGCACAAUGGGCGGAAGCCUGAUGCAGCAACGCCGCGUGCGGGAUGACGGCCUUCGGGUUGUAAACCGCUUUCGCCUGUGACGAAGCGUGAGUGACGGUAAUGGGUAAAGAAGCACCGGCUAACUACGUG